UACGUAGGGGUCUAGCGUUGUCCGGAAUUAUUGGGCGUAAAGAGCUCGUAGGCGGUUCGGCAAGUCGGAUGUGAAAUCUCCACGCUUAACGUGGAGGGGCCAUUCGAAACUGCCGUGACUCGAGUCCGGUAGGGGAGUUCGGAAUUCCCGGUGUAGCGGUGAAAUGCGCAGAUAUCAGGAGGAACACCGGUGGCGAAGGCGGAUCUCUGGGCCUGUUCUGACGCUGAGGCGCGAAAGCUAGGGGAGCGAACAGG
Molecule: ribosomal RNA, 254 nt
Filed under: uncultured bacterium
Lineage: Bacteria
Description: partial 16S ribosomal RNA
Rfam family: Bacterial small subunit ribosomal RNA
Source: RNAcentral